Long non-coding RNA from Panicum virgatum (switchgrass), 486 nucleotides. RefSeq lists it as uncharacterized. Lineage: Eukaryota; Viridiplantae; Streptophyta; Magnoliopsida; Poales; Poaceae. The record is from RefSeq and is a predicted model, not a curated record. The transcript has 2 exons.
CGCCCGAGGCGGUGCCCGGGGCCGUGGCCGGAUCCGCCGAGAGGAGGGUCCGCAUUGGUGUCGAGGCUCCAACGUCUCUCUCCGGAGGCGCGGAUCCGGUGCCUGCUGGCCGUUGGCCACGCUCGCGCGUCUCUGGUCGCCAUGGCAUGCGCUACCGGCCGCUGGUGUCCCGUCGUCCGCAAGGCCCCCCCUGCUCCAAGAAGAAGAGAGAAGGAGAGGACGCCCCAGGAGCAGAGCCCCCUUGCACAGCAGUAAGACACAGAGGAGGAAGCCAGCAAGGAGAAGCAAGGAAGAAGAAAGAGGAGAAGUGGAGCAGCUCGCUCGCAAUCGAUUGUAUUGAAUGUAUGUGGGAUUGAAAUUUUUCUUUCUUUUUGAAAUUUUUUUGAAAUAGAGAUGCAUGUGGAAUUGUAUUGAAUGUAUCAAUCUUGUAAUCUAUUCUUUGAAUGAUUUGUGAGAUUUAUGGAAUUUGUAUCGGUCGAUUUAAUA